This 253-nucleotide ribosomal RNA is filed under the name uncultured bacterium. RNAcentral's name for it is "partial 16S ribosomal RNA". It matches the Rfam family "Bacterial small subunit ribosomal RNA", at positions 524 to 776 of the family's 1533-position model. The record is from RNAcentral.
UACGUAGGGGGCAGGCGUUGUUCGGAAUUACUGGGCGUAAAGGGCGCGUAGGCGGCAGGGCAAGUCGGGUGUGAAAGGCCUGGGCUCAACCGAGGAACUGCUUUCGAGACUGCCAAGCUAGAGUGCGGAAGGGGCAUCUGGAAUUCCCAGUGUAGCGGUGAAAUGCGUAGAUAUUGGGAAGACCACCUGAGGCGAAGGCGGGAUGCUGGGCCGACACUGACGCUGAGGCGCGAAAGCCAGGGGAGCAAACGGG